Ciona intestinalis (vase tunicate) is the source of this 763-nucleotide non-coding RNA. NCBI's taxonomy places the organism in Eukaryota, Metazoa, Chordata, Ascidiacea, Phlebobranchia, Cionidae. The record is from RefSeq and is a predicted model, not a curated record.
CCGUACAGUGCUGUGAAGUAAAAUGGGGAUACCUUUACCACAUGAUCUCUUUUAUAUCAUACUUUUGGUAUAAAAAUUUUACCGCACACAAUAUCUGUUAUAUCAGUACUGUGGGGUAAGAUGGUUACUGGUCACAAUAUUUUAACAUAGUUCUGUAUGGUAAGAUUGAAUAUCGUUACCACAAUGUAUCUGUUAUACCAGUUCUGUGGGGUAAGAUGGAUUACCGCGCGUAAUAUCUGUUAUAUAGUCCUGUGGGGUAAAAUGGGAUGCCGUUUCCAAAUAAUAUCUCCUAUACAGUACUAUAGAGACAGAUGGAUAACGUACACAGUAUAACUGUUAUAUAUUUCCCUGGGGUUACAUGAAAUACCGCACUUAAUAAUAAAGGAGUCAAAACGGGGGUGGCUUGUCAUUUACUAUACAAUCUGCGUCAGAACAGCCAAGAAGAUAGUACCAGGCGUCAACAAGCAACUAAGAGAGAAUCAACAACGUACGGAGUCAACUUCAACCGAGCCAAUCACUCACGUUCAACGUCGCCCCCAACAAUUGGUGACCUCGGAGCACGACCUUCCGACAACAGAACAACGACAAUCGCUGCUAGAACACGGAGGCCCUACAAUUGAUCACCCCACCAUGCAGUUGACACAUCUACGCGAAUGUAUCGAUCUAAUUCUCCACCAAACAAAUCCUCAAGUGAAUAAUAUCACUGUAAAUAUGUCGAUGGAAAGUUACGGCCACAACAAAGUCGAGCAGGCAUCGAAGAAAA